CAUGCACCAGUGGAGUCCCUCGGCCUGGCCUGCACCUUCUUGAAAUCCAGGAUCCCUCAGGGGAUGUUGAAGAGCUGGCUUUGGCCUGAUCCUGCAGGCCAGGCUGAGGGACUCCACUGGUGCACG
RNAcentral lists this microRNA precursor (126 nucleotides) under Myotis lucifugus (little brown bat). RNAcentral describes it as "mir-9193 microRNA precursor family". It matches the Rfam family "mir-9193 microRNA precursor family". Lineage: Eukaryota; Metazoa; Chordata; Mammalia; Chiroptera; Vespertilionidae. The record is from Rfam by way of RNAcentral.